CGUCUGUGAAACCCACAGAGUGAGCAGCAGCAGGCCGAGUCCUCGUGUGAGCUGUGGACCGUGGGUGGUGAUGCCGUGUUGAUGCGGGUCUGUCGGUCAUACAGACAUGCUGGUCUGGUGCAGUUGACGUCCAUGGCCACAACCCAGUAAGCGGCAGGGCUGGAAUCAGGAGUCAGGCUUUGCGGGACAAAGAGGAAGUGAGAUCUUGGUCUUAUGACUUUCUAGUUUCCAACCUAUUUGCCCUAAAGUGGAAGAUUGACAGCAGCAGAAGAGGAGAUCCUGGGCCAGUGCAGGCUCUGGGAGCAGCGGGUGACUUUCUGCAGGUAACGCACACAGCUUAGGAGAGCGCUGUAUUUCAGUUGCUGUUGGCUCUGAUGUGACUUUGUGGUGUCCGAUGUUCUGGUUCUGAG
Long non-coding RNA from Rhinopithecus roxellana (golden snub-nosed monkey), 410 nucleotides. RefSeq lists it as uncharacterized. NCBI's taxonomy places the organism in Eukaryota, Metazoa, Chordata, Mammalia, Primates, Cercopithecidae. The record is from RefSeq and is a predicted model, not a curated record. The transcript has 4 exons.